This is a ribosomal RNA of Mycoplasma crocodyli MP145, 107 nucleotides long. The record is from Rfam. NCBI's taxonomy places the organism in Bacteria, Bacillati, Mycoplasmatota, Mollicutes, Mycoplasmatales, Mycoplasmataceae.
CUUAGUGGUUAUAGCAAAGGGGAUCCACCUGAAUCCAUUCCGAACUCAGUAGUUAAGCCCUUUAGUGUCGACGAUAGCGGAAACGUGAAAAUAGAGAGCUGCUAUUU